UUGUGAUCACUUAUGAUAGUGUAAGAUAAAUAUAGACUAAUAUAUACAUCUAUACAUAUAUGCUAUGAUUUUUGCAUUUGUGAGAUAAUUGUAGAUAUUAUUAAAAUAGUUAGUUGUGUUUCCUUAUCUUGAAAGCAGUCUAUGGACAAGGGCAGACUGCAAUCUACACUUUUAUUUCAUUAACUAGCCAGUUACAACUAAUGCUAAUAAGCAUUUUAGGACCAAAAAAUAAAAGACCUCCCUUUACCCCUUUCAGUAUGUUUUAAAUGUCAUGUCCAGAUCAUCUCUUAAAUUGAUUGUCACUCAAUGACUUGGUUUUACAUUAUUUUGCAAUGAUUAUGGCAUGAUUUAAUGGGAUACUAGGCAUUUUGGCAAUGAGGCCCUUUAUCUACUUCCCCAGAGUCAGAUGAACUUGGAGAUAUAGUGUUUAUGUCUCUGUGUCCAUCUAGUAUGAAGGAAGUUAGAGGUUGUUUCGCCAACUGAAAGUCUAUGGGUAUCGACUAGCAUGGUAGUCGAUACCCAUGAGAGGUUGACUUGAAAGUAGUGCCAACUGUCACUUGUUAGCAGUGGCUAGUUAAUUGAAACCAAAUUGUGGAUUACAGUUAGUUCUUAUUCACAUAUUGCAUUCAAGCUAAGAAAACAAACGAUCUAAAAAUGUAAUUACGCUGAACAAUCCCUUUAAGUUGUUCAGAAGUAGUUAACAUUCAGAUUUAUAUCCAGAGUAAAAAGCACAUUUUUUUAGGUUAUUGUGCUGUAGAAUUUAGUAUUUCAUUUGUGUUAAGCUGUUUUACAAAUUAUUGUAAUAAUGUUAAAUAGUUAAUUACCUAGUGUCGCAGUUGAUCAGAGUUGUUAAAUUGCUUAACUAGUAAAAUUGCACAACUUUAACAAACAAUGCCAAUUUGUGUGCUGAAGAGAACAAAGACAGUGUAAAAUAAAGAAACACAACUUGCCUUCUCAUUAUGAGGGGAAAUGGGAUAACAGCUCAAAUGGAGUAGGGCUGCUUGAAUUGGGUUUGAACAGCAUUUAAAAUACAAUCAUUACUUACUGUACGUGAUCUUUAUUAAACUUUACAAUACCACUUUUAGGAAACCAACAGUUACAUAUCUGAAACGGAAGAAAAGAAAUGAAGAAAGCUUAAAGUCAUCAGGAACAGCAUUUAUUGGACAGGUUAUAAAGUUUUGGAAUAGUCCCCUGUGGGUGGGAGUUGACAGAAUAGAAGAUUACGUGAAAAAGGUACACAUCGCCUAAUUAAAUACACUAAUCAAACGCCUAAAAUACAUUCUCACACAUUUAGCACAUUUUUGGUUUACUAUACAUUUCAUCAGGUUACAAAUGAAUUGUUUCCAGAACAAACCAUUAUUAAUUGAUCUUGUUAUGUUAUACAUUGUUCAUUAAUUAUGUUAUUAAUUAUUCAUGUCUUUUAAAAGUUGCUUCAUAGCAUCUUUUUCUUAGGUCACAUUCAUGAGGUCGGGCUUCUUCCAACUGACUUCUUUGAGUCUCAAGAUGUGAUGGACGAUUUAGAAACAAAAUUUAAAAUGACAUUCAACAAUUACAGGCUUCCACCCCGUCAGACUCCAUUUUCCAUUCUUCUGACUUUGGCUGUCAGGAGUUGUGGUCAUGAGGACGAAGAUAGAAUACAAGAACAUCUUCUAAGUUUCCUGGAAGAAUUGCAAUUGCCCCCCAAUAUAAAAGGCGAGAGUAACUACACCAACUACUACACUCUGGAGGCUACUGUCAUAGCUGUGUGCUACAACGAAACCCCUGGAGUCCUCAGACCAGUGAAGUACUAUGGAGCAUCCCUGUCCUGCAGAGGGGAGAGAGCAAAGAGAAUUAUGAUCAAUCAGUCAUGUCUAAACGUGUGGCAUGACUAUGUGUCUUAUGCAGUGUUGUCAUUCAGACAUCAUGACCACGGAAACGGGAUCAGCUUCCCUGGCACCGUAAAAUGCAGAGCAUUCUACAGGAAUCACAAGAACAAUUGUUAUGAAGCCCGAAGGCCGUGCAGUAACUGUGGGGAUCUUUUCUCUCUCGCAAACCCUGAGACGGACAGAAAUGACUUUCCCUAUGGAAACUGUGCCGAAACGGAGUGCCUGAGUAACCUUAUUGUCAAUGAUGAGGAUGUCAGGAGCAACAUGAUUUUGGGAAUCAACUACACAAGUGAAAACCUGAGAGGUCUUAGAGAAAUGGCAGAAAUAGCUUUGGAACAGAUUCUUAUGGCUACUUAGCAGGUCUACUUAGCACCUCUGAACAGUGUGCAUUUGGCCGUCAUUUUCAAACCAACUGCAAACUGUGACUGUGUAAACUUCUAUUAUGUGAUCAGGAUGUCUGCAGCAAUAUGAGUUUUGUACACUACACAAGAGAAAAUGUCUUAGAAAAAUGACAGAAAACGCUUUUAAACAUUUAGGUUUUGUUUCACACAGGUUUUAUACAUGGUGUUUUUGCUGUGUUUGACUUGGUAGUUUCAGAGGAAACUACAAGAACAAUGGUGUUCUUUAAUCACUCAACUGUGAUUAAGGCAACUGUGCCAGAGUCAUAAUGCACAAGUAAAUGGUUUCUGUCACUGAGAGUUGUGAAUUACAGCUCGGACAAACAAUACAAUUAUUACCACUAAUAACAGACAUAAAAAGCAGCCACCUUGGGAAUACAGUUGUUUUACUUUUUGGUUUGGUCUUUGUGUUUGGUUGUUUACUUUUAAUUGAUUUAUUUUGGGGGAUGUUUAAUUGUAAUAAGCUAUCAACUUUGUCCCUUGUUAAAUAGUCUGCCAUGUGCUUUGUGUCACAGUGGAAAAUGAAUGGAAUGAAAAUGAACACAUUUCUGAUGUGACAGGAAACUGCAGAAAGGGUGUGACACUGAACUUGUUUGAAUGUAUUCAGUGAAACCCCAGCUAAAAGAGUGGACUAAAACAACAGACAGCACCAUGAUUAUCUAACAUUGUGUUUCUUUAUGACACAAACUUAUCUUGUAAAUAUUUUGAAUCCAUCAAUAAAUGAGAAUUGUUAAAAGUU
Oncorhynchus nerka (sockeye salmon) is the source of this 3002-nucleotide long non-coding RNA. RefSeq lists it as uncharacterized. The record is from RefSeq and is a predicted model, not a curated record. The transcript is spliced from 2 exons. NCBI's taxonomy places the organism in Eukaryota, Metazoa, Chordata, Actinopteri, Salmoniformes, Salmonidae.